AUGAAGCAGCGGAUCCAAUUUCUCCGUACUCCGCCGGACUGUCAGUCAACUCUUUCAAGUGAGGUUUUUUGGAAAGGCGGCGUCUGGGGUUUAAGAGGCAAAAGCCAAAGCCAGAAAACGAAGAGAAGAAGCAGAUGCAGUCUGGAAUCUGAUGCUCACGGGACGAAGGAUGACGUCACAGCGUACCAGAAGUUAUGCCCUUCCGAGUAG
RNAcentral lists this long non-coding RNA (210 nucleotides) under Prunus dulcis (almond). RNAcentral describes it as "sRNA ncRNA". The record is from RNAcentral. Lineage: Eukaryota; Viridiplantae; Streptophyta; Magnoliopsida; Rosales; Rosaceae.